CCACGUCUGGAACGACGUGACCUCGACCGUACGUGCGUCUGGAGUAAUCCGGGGGUGCGGAGCUACGGUUAAACAACCCGUGCGCAAGCACACAAGGCUGACGUGAGUCAGUCCCAAUCCCACGAACAAGACGCGGGAAGGUUG
Molecule: non-coding RNA, 144 nt
Organism: Polaromonas sp. JS666
Lineage: Bacteria; Pseudomonadati; Pseudomonadota; Betaproteobacteria; Burkholderiales; Comamonadaceae
Source: Rfam